Orcinus orca (killer whale) is the source of this 6507-nucleotide long non-coding RNA. RefSeq lists it as uncharacterized. Lineage: Eukaryota; Metazoa; Chordata; Mammalia; Artiodactyla; Delphinidae. The record is from RefSeq and is a predicted model, not a curated record. The transcript is spliced from 6 exons.
CUUGGUAUUUGCGCUGACGUCCUUGUGGUGAUUAAUACUAGGACUCUGUGAUUUGCCUCGUGAGAACCUAAUCCGGAGGCUGGGAAUACUUCAUUGCGAUUGUCGCCAGCUCCUCCGCGAAGGGCUCAGGUCACUCUUCCCCGCCUGGCGCCCUCUACCUGCUCCUCACUGGGUCCGGACUCCCUCACACUCAGGUCUUGGUGACUCCAUGGCCCCAGGGAAAUUGAAACUAGAGAAAAGCGACUUCUCCAAGGUUACACUGCUAGUCCCCUGUUAGUCCAGGAUUACAACUUCAAUCACCUGACUUUCAGUCCAUUCCACCUCCAGAGCCUUUCUGUGGGCAAGGAUCCUGGAAGGUCCAAUGACACCCCCACAGGGAACAUGCCUGCGCCAGCCCAGACAGGUCAAAGGGCAGGAUUCCAAGCAGCUGAGAUGAUCUCUAGAGAAACCUGGAACUUCCCUGUGACACAAGUGUGGCAGAAAGAGGCAGGCCCAGGGGUUGCCAGCACCCCACGAUCCCUUGGCAAGUGGGGUACCCCUCAGGGUGGGAAGGGGCCCCUACCUGUUUGGUGAACCUGGCCACUGGUUCCUGAAUCUCUGCUUUCAAGGGCCUUGAGUGGCUUAUGUCCCAAGAACAUGGAGUCAUCACAGAGCGCUUACAUCCAAAAUCCAUUUUCCUUCAAAAGAGUGCCCUGGUCAGAGUAAGUAAAGGCGAUCCUGUACACUUUGGUAAAUCAGUGAUUGGUCUAUACUGUAACUGGGCCUUUAGAACUGACAGUGAGCUUCCCGAUGUGAUUCUCACAGGAGAGCGCUACAGAGUUCCUGGAAAAUCCCCUGUCGACCCUGCCAGGAAACAGGUGUUCCACAGAGGUGACCGUGGCGGACAAGUAAAGACAAUUCCAAAGUGUAAACAUAUUUUUUAUAAUUUAGAUAUAAAACGUCAGAAGAACACUGUACUCACCUUAUACUCUGAAAUAAAUUGAACAAAACAGUGAAGUCAGACAAAGACAAAUAUUGUAUAAUACCACUUAUGUGUGGAAUCUAAAAAAUAAUACAAUUGAAUCUAUGUACAAAACAAAAACAGACUCAUGGACAGAAAACAAACUUAUGGUUACCAAAGGGGAAAGAGGGCGGGGCAGGGAUAAAUUAGGAGUAUGGGACUGACAGAUACACACUACUAAACAUAAAAUAGACAAGCAACAAGGACUUGCUGUAAUAUGGCAACACAGGGAACUAUAUUCAAUAUCUUAUAAUAACCUGUAAUGGAAAAUAAUCUGGAAAUAUGUAUAUAACUGAAGCACUUUGCUGUCCACCUGAAACUAACACAAUAUUAUAAAUCAACUCUACUUCAGUUUUUUAAAUUGAGCAUAAUUUGAUAGCUCAGGCCCACUGGGGAGGGUGGAGCAAGUGCCCCUACACAGGUGGCCCCCGAGAGUCCUGCAUUUGAGUUCUUGCUGUGGUUGGCUUAUUAUAAUUUUGUGACCUGCCCCUUUGUCAAGCUGUCAGCAUGUGACCCUCAGCAGCUUCUCUACCUCCUUGAAGUUACUGCUUCCAUGAUUGGAGCCAAAAUGUGGUACAUGGGGAGGGGCCGAGGGGGCAGGGGAGGGGGCGAGGAAGUGUGGUUCUGCCUUCGUCCUCCAUCCUGGAGUGUGUAACUUCUCUGCCGUGGACCCCAGGCUCCCCAUCUGAAAUACAGGGAAUUAGAAAAAGUGACUCCGUAAGGCUCUAAGCUUGGUAAUUCCCAUGAAGAUGCUCUGAAGUGAUCUCAAACUCAGCGUAUCAACCCAAAUGAGAUUAAACUGUGGUUGUCUGUGUAGCUGCCUCACUCCUCCUGUAAUCGGUGCCCUCCUAUGGGCAGGGACCAUCUUAUAGUCAUCCUCCAGCGCCUGGCAGGUAGCAGGGCUGUGAUACACAAGGGUGGACAAGCAAAUGGACCGACCAGCUGAGACCGAAGCACUGAUUCUCUCCAGCUGUGAACCUCUCACCUGUCUCCUCAGCUCAGUCACAAGCUCUCUGGGAGCGAAGAAUAGAUCUUUUCUUCACGAGGUCUCCAAGCAGGGCUGAUGGGCACUCAGGGUGCACUUGUGUGUCCAGGUCAGUUGUUAAAAUACUGAAAAACUUCCGUACAGUUGCUGCCUGAGCCCUAGAGUGCCCCCCACCCCUAGAUGCCCAGCACCUCAUCCAAUGCCCCCAGCCCCCUGUCUGGCUGCUAAAGGGUGAUGUCUGGCCUAGCAGGGCCUCCAGGACUCUGCUCCAGCUCUAUGGCUGCAUCCUUCUCACUGGUCAGUGUAUUGCCGUGCUAUCGUUAAAUGUCCGAGUGAUGGACCAGCCCGAUGCAGAUGAUGGGGAUGCAGCAGAUGCCUGGUAAAUGCUACUUGUUACCUGAGAAUCGAUAUAUGUGGGCUCUGGUCUCCCAGUGGACUGACGGAGUUCUCAGCAAGGAAGUGGGCAGUGUGCUGCCUGAUGCCCAAAGACAAGUUUACAGGGUCCCUGGCUGGACAACAUAAGGCCCUCCAAGGACCCCCGCAGGGGAAGGAAAGUACAGACUUGCUGUCCUUGCCACUCUCAUCCCUGUCAAUCCAUCCGUCCAUCCAUCCAUCUGUCCACCCGUCCACUGUUUGGGGCCCACACUUCAGGCACAUCAGCUCCAGGAAGACCAGAGAGCAGGUCAUGCCGUACAGUGAGCUGGGCCAGACGGGCAGGGGCAGUAGGAAGAGGUCAGACUUGGUGCUGGGGGUCGGAGUCGGGGUCGCUGGUCUGAGCCCCAGCCCUCUGACCAGCCUGGCGGCCAGACUCUCGGAGCCUGUAUUUCCUCUUCUGCACAAGUAACAGAGUUAAACCUACUUUUAGCUUGUUGUGAGGCCUGGUGAGUCUAACAAAGGCUCUGAUCUGGGCCCACAGUUGGGGCUUCUCCUCUAGAUGGAAUCUUAUUUGGAGAAAUCAGGACUUGAAAAAUGACAGAGUGGUUACACAGGUAUGUCUUGUUUGCAAAGACGCAUCGAGCUGUACACUUAUGUAUGCCCUUCUGUAUGCAAAGUAGAUACAGUGAAAAGCUAAAACACCACACGUUCUCAGGCAUCGAAAAUAUCAUCAGGAAAAAAGUUGAGAUGCUAAAACAGAUAGCUGAGAAAAAUCUAGGAUUUUAGUCGGUUUUAGUCGAUUUAGUCGAUUUUAGCCAGGGGGUCGGUACAUUCCAGGCCAGGGAUCAUUAUAAACAAAGGUAGGACAGGCUUUUUCACAAGGCUGUGGGAGGACAGGGGUAAGGCGGGCACGGGGCCAGGACAAGGCCCUGAGCUAUGUGAGGAGGUCUGUGUAAGAAGCCAUGCAGCAGUGGGCAGGGGAAAUGAACACCAAGAGCCUCUCAGGACCUCCCAUGUUCCUGAAGCCUGGAUGCCCCAAGGCAGGCAGAGAUGGAAUCCUCCGGACAACUUCUCUCUGCAACUCAUCCAGCUCCUCUGCAGGCUAUCUCCUCUGCGGGUGGAGGGGCCCAGGGCCUGGCGAGGCCACCCCUGUCCACGUGGGAAAAGUGGAGGUAGGUCCAAGAGACAGAAUCUCCUUCCUCACCGUGGGGAGCGGAGGGGUGUGUGUCUCCUUCAGCUCCUGGGUCAGCCUUCCUGCCUGGGGCCUCAGAGAAGCCUCAGAGACAGGACCCCUCCUGUCCAGGGCCAAAUCUUCAGAUCAAUGGGUUCAUGCCACCGAGGUUGUGCAGACAAUCCCCCACUACACCCCUCUCCUCCUGGAAGAGCUCUUUCUGGAGCAGCUGAAAUGGUGUAGGUAACUUUCUGUGCUUUCCCAGGGAAGUCAGAAGUCAGAGACAGCCGGCCAAGCUCUUGUGGGUUCAUUCAUCUGGAUACCAGAUGGGAGGGGCAGAAAGAGGGCUCCUUAAAGCAAAAGGAAAUGAGAGCUGAAGACAAAGUCUGCAAGCAGCCAGAGGCCCGCCCACCUGUAGCAGCCGAGGCUUGUUGGUCCCAAAAUCUGUUCUCCACUGUUCCAUGGGAUAUUUAGCUGAGAAUAUGGCCACUCAGAAGGAAGACUACAUUUCCCAACGUUUCUUACAGUAGAUAUGGCCAUGUGACUAACAUCUAGUUAACAGGUGCAAAUCCAGCCUCCUCCAAGAAACGCUGCCAGAUGGUGUGUUGCUACUUGCAAAGUCCUUUCACAUGCAUUUAAAAAAAUCCAUUUCCUGUUUUCUGCACAAUCACCUCUAGGUAAGUAUUAUUGCCAGCAUACCACAGGUAAGGAGGAGGCGGCUCAGAGGGGUAAACGGUUUUCUGGUUUGGCAACUCUCUUCAGCUUAAAUAUGAGUUACUAAUGCCUGUGUUGAUCUCCCCUCCUGCCCGUGAUCUUCUCCGUGGCCCAGAGGGGGCUGAUUCAACUCUGAUUCCCUCCAGGGCUGAGGGCUCCACCCACAGCUGGUGCUCUGUAAAUUUGUGCCAAAUUGAUUUACUGUGUAUGCAGCAAGUUCUCCUCCAUCCAAAGACAUUGAUUUCUUCUAAACUCCAUUUCUCUCUUUGACAUUCUCUAAGAAAGGGAGAAAAACUCCAAGGAGAGAAGAGCUUGGUCCUUUUGGGUGAAUCUUUGGCCUGUAGAGGGCCAGGUGGCCAAGGCUUGGUAGUGUAUGAAGGGACCUGCUCUGGGGUGUCAGAGGACCCAGGACAAAGUACCAGGGACCCGGAGCUGGGGCUGCAAGAGGAAAGUGUGGGGAGGAGGGGCCUCUGAAGCUGGGGGCCUGGCAAGGGUUCCACCCAGCUCCCUUUCUGGGGGCAGGGAGGUGGGCAUGCAGAGCCCAGGGAAAGCAAUGAAAGGAGCUGGUUUCAUAGCCAGAUGGUUUUUGCAAGUAUUACUUCAUUGAACCUCACAGCACUCCUCUGGAGUUGGGUGGCAGGCAAUUUCAUCUUUUGAAGGGGAUGGAGAGCUGAAGGAGGAGAAAGAAAACGAAAUCUGGUGACCCGGCCAUGAGGAAAAAACACUGCCCCAGAUCUGCAAAUCUCCUGCGGGGAGGGAGGGACCCAAGGAUUCUACCUCAUGAUGAAAAUAACUGUUCUCCCCCCAUAUUCAACCAAUGGCUCUUUACUGGGUUCAUAGGCCAGCAACUUUGAUCUGCCCAACAAUUCUUGGAGGACAGAGGCAGGCAUUGCCCCUUUCAACAGAUGAGGAACCUGAAACCCAGAAAGGGAAAGUGACUUGCCCAAGGUCACACAGCAAGGGCAGGGGCAAAACCAGGACUGCAGUCACUUCUUGGUCUUAGCAAUGGAGAAGGGGCCUUGUGUGCCACAGGCUCCCAUAACCAUGCACAGAUGUAACCUGGGACUUCAGACUCCUUCUUCUGGCACCUUCUUUUGACAAGGGCUUAUGUAGGAGACUGGCUUCCCUGGAGAGACAGUACUGCUUGUCCUAAGCAUCCCAAGACCCUACUUGGAUGCUACUUUCUUCAUUCAUUCAUUCAUUCAUUCAUUCAUUUAUGGUUGCGUUGGGUCUUCGUUGCUGUGCAUGGGCUUUCUCUAGUUGCGGCGAGCGGGGGCUGCUCUUCAUUGCGGUGCGCGGGCUUCUCAUUACGGUGGCUUCUUUUGUGGAGCACGGGCUCUAGGAGUGCAGGCUUCAGUAGUUGUGGCACGUGGGCUCAGUAGUUGUGGUGCACAGGCUUAGUUGCUGUGCAGCACGUGGGAUCUUCCCAGACCAGGGCUCGAACCCGUGUCCCCUGCACUAGCAGGCGGAUUCUUAACCACUGUGCCACCAGGGAAGCCCCUCGGAUGCUACUUUCUUCAAGGAGUUGUCAUUCAUCUUCCUUCCCCCAUGGUCCUCCAAUACUUGUGACGCACUGUCUGUGCCCUGUCACUCGUGUCACAUAUAAUCCUUGACCCAGGUCUUGGCUCUCUGACUACUGGGUGCACCCAGGGCAUGACUGCCAUGCCUGGGUACCCCUCACGCUCCUUGGGUAUGAGAGACGAGUUGGAGUGACUUCCUGAUGGAAUGAAGUCAGCUGUGGCUGUGAGACGCUGGGCUGGAGGAUGCCGCUAAGUGCCUGUGGUAUACACUGGGCCCUGGGAGGGCAGUCUCGAAGGCUGGGGGUAUGCGAAGGAUUGGCAGCCUCUCAGCAGUGCUCUAGGCCAGGACUUUCCCUGAGGGGUUUGCAGAGCUAAGGAGAAGCGUCCAUGAAACAACCCAGGGUCCGUCUCCCAGUGAUUGUAGCUGCAGUCCUUUAAGAAACCUGCUAGUGGAGACUGUUUCAGAUGCCCAGGAAGGGCCCCUUCUGCAAAGGAGAGGCGCCAAGCCAGACCCCAUCACCCAGAUGGGCCUUGCUGAGCUGCCCUGGAGUCUGUCUGUCCGGGGGCGAUGGGCUCAGCCCCGGCAGCCACAGUCCCGUCACACUCUGCCGGGGCGCUGAGCAGUGUAACACCCUCCCCCAAAUCCUCGGCUCCCACCUCCACGCCGUGGUUGAUAGCUGUAAGUGUAAUUUAAAUAAAUAGCAGCAUAAGGCCAACCGCAACGAGUAAUCUUAUUCUAUUU